This 433-nucleotide ribosomal RNA is filed under the name uncultured bacterium. Its description in RNAcentral is "partial 16S ribosomal RNA". It matches the Rfam family "Bacterial small subunit ribosomal RNA", at positions 29 to 507 of the family's 1533-position model. The record is from RNAcentral.
AACGAACGCUGGCGGCAUGCCUAACACAUGCAAGUCGAACGAGACCUUCGGGUCUAGUGGCGCACGGGUGCGUAACGCGUGGGAAUCUGCCCUUGGGUUCGGAAUAACAGUUGGAAACGACUGCUAAUACCGGAUGAUGACGUAAGUCCAAAGAUUUAUCGCCCAGGGAUGAGCCCGCGUAGGAUUAGCUAGUUGGUGGGGUAAAGGCCUACCAAGGCGACGAUCCUUAGCUGGUCUGAGAGGAUGAUCAGCCACACUGGGACUGAGACACGGCCCAGACUCCUACGGGAGGCAGCAGUGGGGAAUAUUGGACAAUGGGCGAAAGCCUGAUCCAGCAAUGCCGCGUGAGUGAUGAAGGCCUGAGGGUUGUAAAGCUCUUUUACCCGGGAUGAUAAUGACAGUACCGGGAGAAUAAGCCCCGGCUAACUCCGUG